GACGAACGCUGGCGGCGUGCUUAACACAUGCAAGUCGAGCGGUAAGGCCCUUUCGGGGGUACGACGAGCGGCGAACGGGUGAGUAACACGUGGGUGACCUGCCCUCAGCUCUGGGAGUAAGCCCGGGAAACUGGGUCUAAUACCGGAUAUGACUCCAUGACGCAUGUUGUGGGGUGGAAANCCUUGUGCGGCUGAGGAUGGGCCCGC
This 207-nucleotide ribosomal RNA is filed under the name uncultured bacterium. Its description in RNAcentral is "partial 16S ribosomal RNA". It matches the Rfam family "Bacterial small subunit ribosomal RNA", at positions 28 to 234 of the family's 1533-position model. The record is from RNAcentral.